GGAGUAUGUGGUUUAAUUCGAUGCAACGCGAAGAACCUUACCUGGUCUUGACAUCCCGGACGGACCCUUAACGGUAAACGUAGGGGGUGGCUUCCCAUCUGGAAGAAUCUGGAGACAGGUGCUGCAUGGCUGUCGUCAGCUCGUGUCGUGAGAUGUUGGGUUAAGUCCCGCAACGAGCGCAACCCUUGCCUUUAGUUGCCAGCAGUUCGGCUGGGCACUCUAUGGAGACUGCCACCUAAAGUGGAGGAAGGUGGGGAUGACGUCAAGUCAGCAUGGCCCUUACGUCCGGGGCUACACACGUGCUACAAUGGCCGGUACAAAGGGUUGCGAAGCCGUGAGGUGGAGCGAAUCUCAAAAAGCCGGCCUCAGUUCAGAUUGGAGGCUGCAACUCGCCUCCAUGAAGUCGGAAUCGCUAGUAACCGCAGAUCAGCUACGUUGCGGUGAAUACGUUCCCGGGCCUU
RNAcentral lists this ribosomal RNA (461 nucleotides) under uncultured Candidatus Sumerlaeota bacterium. RNAcentral's name for it is "bacterial SSU rRNA". It matches the Rfam family "Bacterial small subunit ribosomal RNA", at positions 934 to 1382 of the family's 1533-position model. The record is from RNAcentral. Lineage: Bacteria; Candidatus Sumerlaeota.